Long non-coding RNA from Xenopus laevis (African clawed frog), 2764 nucleotides. RefSeq lists it as uncharacterized. The record is from RefSeq and is a predicted model, not a curated record. NCBI's taxonomy places the organism in Eukaryota, Metazoa, Chordata, Amphibia, Anura, Pipidae. The transcript has 2 exons.
UACACAAGCCUGGCCCACAAAAGUUUUGGAAGGUCGAAGAGGCUAGAACAUUACGGGUGGAUGGAGCCAGAGCAUAUCUAAUAAUGCACAGCUAAGACUUCAUGACAGAACAGUUAGAUGAAUACAGCAGCGAAACAGACCAUUGCUGCAUCCUGGAAAAAGUGUUCAAUUCCCAUAAUUAUGUUCCGGCUCAAAAUGAACUGGUUUAUGAUUAAUGAGAGAAUGUUGAGUGUUGCUGCAGAUAAAUAUGAUGUCUACACCAAAAUCUGGACGCCUUGGAUAUUAUAUACCAGGUUAUGAUGCAAAUGUCUGGCGAGAGCUUUAUGGUUUAUUUAAUUGUUUUGGGUUUUUUUCUUUGGUUUUUUUUUUCUGAUUGCAAGAUUGUAACAAGGGACAAGGUUAGAUGGUAUUGAAACCUACAAGAUGGUACUUUGUGUAGUCAUAGGCACUGAAUUAGGAGCAUUAAUGUAUCUUUAUAGUAAACACGGAAACGGUUAUUUAAGUUUGUUAGUUUAAUUUUUUAUUGAUAUGCAAUUUCCAAAGUCAGAAUGUUUUGAUUUAUGCUGUAUAGUUGAGAGAAAUUAUGGACACUAAAGUUUUUUUUUUUCUUGGCCCUCCGGGUACUUGAAUGUGAUGACAUUGUCCUCCUCUGCGUAGGAGAAUAUUCAUUUUCUGAAAAUAGAAAUAUAUGUAAAAACCGGAUAUGACGAAAGUUAAUACUGUAUUGUUAUCUAAUAAAAAAGUUUUAAAAGAAAAAAAGAUAAAAAAAAAAUUACCAAAACCCACACGAAGUCCCAAGAAACUGCUGCCUGAUUGUUUUCUAGGCCUUGGGACCCCACAUGGGGAGACAGUAGGAUGCUGGGGACUGUGGUCUCAAGACUACCUUUCUAUUUUAAAAGAGGGCUAUUCUUCCCUGUAAAACCACAAAUCCACCAGUACCAUGUAACAAAACGAGUUAAAAUGAGAAAUUUUGAAUGCGGUUAAGGUAGGCUACUUGUUCAAUCGAUACAAUGUUCCAAAGCAGUAGAUUUUUCCCCAAAUAUAAAUCUAGGGACCAGGGCCCAAUAUUAAUUUGCUUAGGUGGCCAUCAUCACUAAUAGCAGCCCUAACGUAUGAUAUAUUGUAUAAAAGCACCUAACAUCUCCUAAGCAAACUGGUACUGACCAUUCCAGUCUAAAUGAUUUAAAACUGAUUUAGUACACAUGCAUUAUUUCACCUAAAAUGUGUCGCUAGCAUGUCUGUGCUGCACUUACUAACUCCACAUUGCCUUACUGGAAAAGUUACUUUACACACUUUUAACAUGACUAAAACCUGAUUCAGUUCAAAUGCAUAUUAUUUUCCAUCAUAUGUGUUCCUAUAGUAGCUGUGCUGCACUUACCUCUCAUCUAAAGCUGCAUCUGAUAAUCUUGUAACUGUCACUAGUGUUUCCAACAGUCACUUUGUAGUUGAAAUACAGCUACAAUCUGCAGGUUGGAAAGCCCUGCUCUAAAGUGUUACUGACUCCACAUUUGAAAAGUUACUUUACAUACAUUAAACAUGAUUUAAACAUGAUUUAGUACACAUACAAUGCCAUUUCCCCUAAUAUAUGCCUCUAGAGCAUCUGUGCUGCCCUUACCUCUGUUCUAAAGCUGCAUCUGACAAUCUUGUUACUGUCUUUAACUGUCACUUUGUAGUUCAAUUACUGCAAUCUGCAGGUUGGAAAGCCCUGCUAUAAAGUCUUACUGAUUCCAGCUUGUCUCACUGGAGAUAUCACUAUACACAUUUUAUACAUUAAAACAUGAUUUAGUACAAGUGCAAUGUCAGGGUGCAUAGUAGGUAUGGUCACACUGCACAUGGAUGCUUUUAGAUCUGGGUUGGUGGGACAGCCAUGGGCUUUUGUUACAAUACAAGCUUUUCCCAGUGUCCAAAUCCACAAAUUGGGGAUUUAACUAAAAAUUACAAAACCCUAAGACUAAAUGGCACAUCACCAAUCCAUCAACUUUUUGAUAAGAGCCACCCCCUUGAGGUAAGAAAAUUUGGUUGUGUCCUUACCUGGCAAAACAUCAUUAUGUUGAGCUUGCAGACUUAUUUGCUGUUACUGAUGGGAGAUAAAAUUCUAUUCCCUUCACUGCCUUCUCUUGCCAACAUUCAGUUUUUCCUACAGCUGGUACCAGUGCAUGAUGGGAAAGUGUUUAGCCAAUCAGUAAGGUGUCCUUAGACAUAUGGUGGAUGGAGCUUCACAGUCAAUACCAGGACACUAGGAAAGAGAGCUUAACCAGUAAGGAAGUUGGGCUAAACCACUAUCUGAAAUAAGAAGGGGGGCAGUUAAGCUGUGAGUGCAGAAGUGUCAGAAUCAUUGCAAACAGAAUUCAUGUUGUUGAUGUCAUUGCUAGCCUGAUAGGUAGUUGUUAUUGCAUGCUGAUAGCUAAUCCCACUCUAUGGAGAGCCCAUAUAUGAACUGCUGGUAAACAUGUUGAGAGGUUUACAGUGUAGUUACAUGUCAUAGGCAGUGCUAUCAAGUGGCACAGAUUUAAUAUGAUGGCCAUUUUGAUCUGAUUAUGGAAAUUAGAAAAAACACCAGUUUUCAGGUACCUGUUUAUUCCUAUAGAUAGAUGGUAGGUUGAAGCUCAGCACCUUUGAAAACCCCAUGGUACAUCGAGUAGUAUAAGUAAAGGAUCUAUUAAUGAAAAUGCUCGGGACCUUGAGUUUUCCACUUAAGGGAGCUUUCUGUAAUAUGACCCACCAUACCGUAAUCCUUUACGUAAAAAUGUUAUGUUCCCAAAAA